Molecule: RNA transcript, 3796 nt
Organism: Triticum aestivum (bread wheat)
Lineage: Eukaryota; Viridiplantae; Streptophyta; Magnoliopsida; Poales; Poaceae
Gene name: transcription factor bHLH81-like
Exons: 10
Source: RefSeq, a predicted model, not a curated record
UACCGAGAGCCUCCUCUUCUCCCUCAAUCCCCAUCCUCUCCUUCUCCCAAAUCCGCCGCCUCCUCUUCUCCUCCCCAAUCCGCCACCUCCUCUUCUCCUCCGCAAUCCGUGAGCCCUCGCCACCAAGAAGCCACGGGUGCGCCGCCGCUGGAAGAAAAAAAGAAGAGGAGGUGGCGCGGGGAACAGCGGCGGCGACGGCCUGGGAGCCACCGUGGAGCAGGUGGAGAUGCGGGGCGGCGAUGAAGACGUGUGAGAAGAUGGCCUGAGCGUCCUCGUCAAGGGCAGUUUUGGCUACCUCCUCCCACCUCGGAUUGGGUUUGUCCGCUUGGUGGAGCAGGCAGGGAGCAAGUAGGCAAAUAUGGGAGAAGGAGAAUGACCCUGACGAGAUGGCUGCCAUAGGGUCGUGACCUUCUUUAGCAUGCACAUCGGCACCGUCCCCGCGUCCGCAGCAGGAGGACGACAAUGGCUGCAAGUGACGGCGCAGGAGCCCAUCUUGGUCGAGCACCCUCCCAGGAUUUUACUACUGUUAUGGACAAAAGAAGGCUAAAGCUGGGAAAGACAACAAUGUCAGGAGCCGACCGAGCUAGAUCCAAAAUGCAGAGAAGCAAGGUUUAUUUUCCUGGAGCUCCUAUAUUGCAGCUGGUGCUAUUUUGUUAUGUCAAAUUGUGUAUUUUUCCAGCUUCCCUUCCUCAUAUAUGAGCUUGUCUAUGGUGGGAUGGGGAUUCAGAGGAUAAAGUUUAUGGCAGUAAGGAGGUCAAGCGUGAGACGUCACAUGUCAAGGGGAUUUACUAUUUAGUCUCUUCUAAUCAGGUGAAGAGAUACUGCUGGUUUAAAGGAAUCCAUACUUUAACAUGAUUUCUCCCAAUUCAACAAAGUCAGGUACUACUCAUGUUCUUUCAUGCUAUGGAGCUACUCGAGGCAGCAGAACAUUAUGCCACACGGAGAUGGGGAUGGCCAUGCCCGCGCUGAUGCCGUCGGCCGUCGGUGAGAGCAUCACCGUCAACAACGGCUCCAGCGACCUCUCCAGGAGCUUCUCCAUGAGCUCCUCGGGCGACACCAACUCCAACAUCAUGUUCUUCACGCCCGGAAGCAAAAAAGCGAAGGUGCUCAUCGACAGCGACGACGGCAUGGUCACCAGCCUCAGCAAAAUCGAAUCCCAAUUUGGCAUGUCAACCACGUCUUUAGACAUGUCCGGCAUGGACGACUAUCUGCAGCUGCAGCAGUACUUCAUCGCCUGCACAGUCCGCACCAAGCGUGGCUGCGCCACUCACCCGCAAAGCAUCGCUGAGAGGAUUAGUUAAUUUCCUACAACAUUUUUGGUGUUUGUCUUGGUGCGACAUGUUUGUACUGAAUAUUUUUCUUUCUUAUGCUGUUUAGGAAAGAAGAGCAAGGAAUAGCAAGAGGCUAAGGAGGCUGCAAGACCUCGUGCCCAAUAUGGACAAGUUAUUCUUUUACCACAACCACUGCACUCUUCGGUUGGCAGAAUCAAGGAAAAGAUAUCUCAUGAAAAUCUAGUAGGAAGUGAUGAAUCGAACAAGGAGGAAGGGUAACACAAUGACGUGUUUGGUCUUCAGCCAUUUCUUUACUAAGAAACUAAGAGAGCCGAAGGUGGAGCGGCGACGAGAGCUGGCCAUUUGUUAACAGUCGCAGACACGCGUGUACCCUGCUCGCUGGCCGUUGCAAACUGAACGGCUACAUGCAUUAAACGGCCAUACACAAAGCUAGCUUACACAGUAAGCGGAGGAGUUGAACUAGGUUGAGCUGCUGCUUCAUAUGGCCUGGAACGCCAGGCCGUCUUCUGUGUUGUCGUCGCGGGCACCACGGGACCGUCUUGGUCUUCUUCCGUGUCACCAUCGAGAGGUAGCAGGAAAUGUGUGUCGAGAGGCACAUGAAUACGCCCGUGGAUUGUUUUUCAGCGUGCUCAGUUUUAAAAAACGAGUUAUGUGGUUCUUUUCUUAAUACAGAGAAAAAAAUGAUAAUUUUGCAAGUGCUACAGUAUUAAGAUCACUGUUUUUAAUACUGUAAUUUAAACCACAGUUUUUAGUGGUAGCCAAACAGCUCACUGUAAUUAAAACUUUGUUAAUCUAAAAAACUGUGUUAUUUUCAAAAUACAUAGAAAGUACUUUGCUAUCAAACAGGGCUACAAGUGCAGAUUUCCUUGAAGAUAGUAUAUUUUAUAAUUGUAUUGCCAACAUGCUUCCAUAGUUUUAUCACCACAAACUAAUUCUAGCUGCUUCCAUAGUAAGGUAACAAUAAUCUGUGUUAUAGCAGAAUAUAGAUGUAGUGUGCUUGUCUGAAUAUAAUGCAGAGUUUAGAAAUGAACUAAAAUCUGAGAGCAGGAAGUAAUAGGCUUAUUUUCCAGUUAGAAAAAUAUAUGUACUGUAGCAUCAUGUAUUCAGGUAAUCCCUUGUAUUUUUUUGCCAGGUUCAUGUUUUAUAUAUUGUCUAUACACCACAUAAACUAAAGUUUGUAGUGUCAGCAGUAAACAGGGGCACACCUUAGUAUGGGUAGAAAAAUAAGAGCUUGUGAAAAGAAUAGUAUCUCUAUUACAGGACAAGAAUGACUCUUUAGUUUUAUGCUGAUGUGUGAAAGCACCCCAUUAUCAUGCAAAUAGUACCAGGUUUAGAGCCUUGAUUAUGGCGGCUAUAAACCCAAAACAAUCCAUCUUAUUAUUUAGUAUACAAAGCACGUUCUGGUGGGAAUGACUCCAAUUAGAAUUCUAGCUGCUGGCAUAUAUCUGAUUGGUCCCGGAUUGAAAAUCUCAAUUGUCAGGACUUGCUUGUAUGCAUUCCUAAAUAGUGUAAAACUGAAGCUUGCUGCUCGUGAGGUGUCAGCCAUAAACAUGUAUUAUGACCAUUGUUUAUCCGGUGAAGUGCCUAAAAUAUAGAGUUACAGUAGGGUUUUUACCCUACCGUGUUUGCUAAAAAAAAGUGCCUAAAAUUCAGUGACCAUAGCUUUCCACUUUAGCUCAUAAACUGGAUGGCAAAAUAGAGUUUGCCCAUUUCAUAUCUAUGUUGUCUUAUUAGGAAAAUAGAGUUUGUUUUAUAGCUGAUGCUUAAUAUGUUUCAUCGACUGGUAUGCUCUAACUUUAGCUCAUAAACUGGAUGGCAAAUGCUAAUUCUAAUGGGGCUUUUGCCACUUAUUGUUUUAUGGUUGUCUAGACAGCUGAUGGCAUGCUUCUUUUUGCGAAUUGUCAAUUCUUUUGUACAGGGUCCCUCGGCUACUUAUGCUCUGCCAGACAAUGAGAGUAUGUAGAUAGCAUGUAUGGUUUUUACAUUGCUUUGCGCAGGUUGAGAUGCAUCACAUGAUGUUUUCCUUUUACAUUUAUGAGUAUUAUAGAGUCCUUUCUUUUUCCACAAGGGGCAGUAGCUAUGCCAUUUGAUUCGAAGGACAAAGAGUUGAUCACAAAGGGGUAGCAUUCAGAAUAUAUACACAAAAGAUUAUAGAACCAAAUUAUAUGAUGUAAUUGACUACUAUUUCUAUUAACUUCUCUUGUACACAAUGUUCACGAGUUCAUGUAUUAAGUACAUUUUAUUGUGUCACUUGUGUUUACUCUUCUUUUAAUGCAAGUUUACAGCUACUCGGAAUUUCUAAUUGUAGACUCAACUAUCUUGACGUACCGAUGAUCUAAUUUGUGGCAUUAUUACCUUAAGAAAAUAUUUGCAUUUAAUUUUCUUUAUAUAUAGGGGUAUAAGUUCUUACCAAAUGUACUCAAAUAUACGGUUAUUGAAAAAUGCAAAUAUUUUCAACACGAACAUGGUUUUAAACGGGUCUUUGCGCCAUUUGGCGCAACUGG